CAAAAGCUUGGUCCUGACUUUACUAUCAAUUCUAGCUAAAUUUACACAUGCAAGUAUCCGCACACCCGUGAGAAUGCCCUAAUACUUCUUAUAUGAAGUCAAGGAGCUGGUAUCAGGCACAACACAAUGUUAGCCCACGACACCUUGCUUAGCCACACCCCCAAGGGAGUUCAGCAGUGAUAAAUAUUAAGGUAUAAGUGUAAACUUGACUUAGUUAAUGCUAAGAGGGCCGGUAAAACUCGUGCCAGCCACCGCGGUUAUACGAGAGGCUCAAAUUGAUAGAUGCCGGCGUAAAGGGUGGUUAAGAAAUAAUAAAACUAAAGCCGAACACCUUCAAGGCUGUUAUACGCACCCGAAGGUUUGAAGAACUUCUACGAAAGUGGCUUUAAAUAUUCUGAACCCACGAAAGCUAGGGAACAAACUGGGAUUAGAUACCCCACUAUGCCUAGCCGUAAACAAAGGUAGCAACCUCACACUUGCUACUCGCCAGGGAAUUACAAGCAUUAGCUUAAAACCCAAAGGACUUGGCGGUGCUUUAGAACCACCUAGAGGAGCCUGUUCUAGAACCGAUAACCCCCGUUCAACCUCACCCUUUCUUGUUAUUACCGCUUAUAUACCACCGUCGUCAGCUUACCCUGUAAAGGAUUAAUAGUAAGCAAAAAUGGUACAACCUAAUACGUCAGGUCGAGGUGUAGCGCAUGAAAGGGAAAGAAAUGGGCUACAUUCCCUGACUCAGGGAAUACGAAUGAUAAAUUGAAAUAAUUGUCUGAAGGUGGAUUUAGUAGUAAGAUGGAAAAUAGAGUGUUCCCCUGAAACCGGCCCUGAAGCGCGCACACACCGCCCGUCACUCUCCCCAAGCUCAUAAUUUAAUUAAAUAAAAUAUAAUAACUGCAAAGGGGAGGCAAGUCGUAACAUGGUAAGUGUAUCGGAAGAUGCACUUGGAAAAA
This 947-nucleotide non-coding RNA is filed under the name Perccottus glenii (Chinese sleeper). RNAcentral's name for it is "12S ribosomal RNA". It matches the Rfam family "Bacterial small subunit ribosomal RNA". Lineage: Eukaryota; Metazoa; Chordata; Actinopteri; Gobiiformes; Odontobutidae. The record is from RNAcentral.